RNAcentral lists this ribosomal RNA (470 nucleotides) under Rhizobacter sp. Its description in RNAcentral is "bacterial SSU rRNA". It matches the Rfam family "Bacterial small subunit ribosomal RNA", at positions 395 to 858 of the family's 1533-position model. Lineage: Bacteria; Pseudomonadati; Pseudomonadota; Betaproteobacteria; Burkholderiales; Sphaerotilaceae. The record is from RNAcentral.
UGCCGCGUGCGGGAAGAAGGCCUUCGGGUUGUAAACCGCUUUUGUCAGGGAAGAAACGGCUCCUACUAAUACUGGGGGCUAAUGACGGUACCUGAAGAAUAAGCACCGGCUAACUACGUGCCAGCAGCCGCGGUAAUACGUAGGGUGCAAGCGUUAAUCGGAAUUACUGGGCGUAAAGCGUGCGCAGGCGGCUUUGCAAGACAGAUGUGAAAUCCCCGGGCUCAACCUGGGAACUGCAUUUGUGACUGCAAGGCUAGAGUACGGUAGAGGGGGAUGGAAUUCCGCGUGUAGCAGUGAAAUGCGUAGAUAUGCGGAGGAACACCGAUGGCGAAGGCAAUCCCCUGGACCUGUACUGACGCUCAUGCACGAAAGCGUGGGGAGCAAACAGGAUUAGAUACCCUGGUAGUCCACGCCCUAAACGAUGUCAACUGGUUGUUGGACGGCUUGCUGUUCAGUAACGAAGCUAACGC